This 1256-nucleotide ribosomal RNA is filed under the name metagenome. RNAcentral describes it as "bacterial LSU rRNA". It matches the Rfam family "Bacterial large subunit ribosomal RNA", at positions 1651 to 2925 of the family's 2925-position model. The record is from RNAcentral.
AAACCGACACAGGUGGACAGGAAGAGAAUUCUAAGGCCAGCGGGAGAAGGGUAGUUAAGGAACUCGGCAAAUUGACUCCGUAACUUCGGGAAAAGGAGUGCUCUCGAGAGAGAGCCGCAGUGAAUAGGCCCAGGCGACUGUUUAGCAAAAACACAGGUCUCUGCCAAAUCGAAAGAUGAAGUAUAGGGGCUGACACCUGCCCGGUACUGGAAGGUUAAGAGGAGGAGUGAGAGCUCCGAAUUGAAGCCCCAGUAAACGGCGGCCGUAACAAUAACGGUCCUAAGGUAGCGAAAUUCCUUGUCGGGUAAGUUCCGACCCGCACGAAUGGUGUAACGAUCUGGGCACUGUCUCAACUACCCGCCCGGCGAAAUUGUAGUACCGGUGAAGAUGCCGGUUACCUGCGACAAGACGGAAAGACCCCAUGGAGCUUUACUGUAGCUUGAUAUUGGGUUUCGGUAAUUUAUGUUCAGGAUAUGUGGGAGACUGGGAAGUUAUGGCGCCAGCCAUAAUGGAGUCGAUGUUGGGAUACCACACUUAGAUUGCUGGAAUUCUAACCUGUGGCCAUGAAACUGGUCAGGGGACAUCGUCAGGUGGGCAGUUUGACUGGGGCGGUCGCCUCCGAAAGAGUAACGGAGGCGCUCAAAGGUUGGCUCAGCACGGACGGAAACCGUGCAUUAGAGUGUAAACGCGUGAGCCAGCUUAACUGCGAGGGUGACGGCCCGAGCAGUAACGAAAGUUGGAGUUAGUGAUCCGGCGGUAUGUGAAUGGAAAUGCCGUCGCUCAACGGAUAAAAGCUACCCUGGGGAUAACAGGCUGAUCUCCCCCAAGAGUCCACAUCGACGGGGAGGUUUGGCACCUCGAUGUCGGCUCAUCACAUCCUGGGGCUGUAUUCGGUCCCAAGGGUUCGGCUGUUCGCCGAUUAAAGUGGUACGCGAGCUGGGUUCAGAACGUCGCGAGACAGUUCGGUCCCUAUCUGUCGUGGGCGCAGGAUAUUUGAGGAGCUCUGUCCUUAGUACGAGAGGACCGGGAUGGACGUACCUCUGGUGCACCAGUUGUCAUGCCAGUGGCACAGCUGGGCAGCUAUGUACGGAACGGAUAAACGCUGAAAGCAUCUAAGCGUGAAGCCGACUCCAAGAUUAGAUAUCCCAUCAGAAUAUGAGUAAGACCCCUUGUAGACUACGAGGUUGAUAGGCUGCGUGUGUAAGCAUGGUGACAUGUUCAGCUUGGCAGUACUAAUAGGUCGAGGGCUUGACCGA